Small nuclear RNA from Leptonychotes weddellii (Weddell seal), 104 nucleotides. The record is from RefSeq and is a predicted model, not a curated record. Lineage: Eukaryota; Metazoa; Chordata; Mammalia; Carnivora; Phocidae.
GCGCUUGCUUCGGCAGCACGUAUACUAAAAUUGGAAUGAUACAGAGAUGAGUAUGGCCCCUGUGCAAGGAUGACAUGGAAACCUGUGAAGCCUUCCAUAUUUUU